This 451-nucleotide small RNA is filed under the name Pan troglodytes (chimpanzee). RNAcentral describes it as "processed transcript". The record is from RNAcentral. Lineage: Eukaryota; Metazoa; Chordata; Mammalia; Primates; Hominidae.
GGUUAUGGAACAUUCUAAAACUUAGACAAGACGAUUGUGAUUGGCUGAAGGGCAUACGCCCUCCUCCAGGGUGACGUGUCUGCCUAUGGAUAUCAGUUGCCAGAGAAACCUGGCUUUACUAUGGCGGUUGGAGGAACGGCAGUGAUCACACGUCGGCUGCUGGGAAGAUCUGGAUUCUCGUUUCAGGUCACCAUCAGAAAAGCUAAGUUUGCUGUAUAGUGAGGAUCAGGAGAUCUGAUCCUGAUUGCAGAACCUUCCCUGAUUACAGAAUCUUCGGUUGUAUCUCCCACUUCACCCUUCUAGACCAUCCCAGAAGAUCUAUAAGAUUUCAUCUGGGAAAUCACUAGGAGUUCUUGGAAGGGAAAGAAGGAAGAUUGUUGGUUGGAAUAAAAACAGGGUUGAAUGAGUUCCAGAAAGCAGGGUUCUCAACCUCGUGGACAGCAAUCUGCAG